GGGUAUUUUGUGACAUUUCCGAUUGGCUGUCUUGUUGUUUCUAAUAAGUUGUUUCAUAGUUGGCAUGGUGAGUCGUAUACAUACUG
This 86-nucleotide microRNA precursor is filed under the name Arachis hypogaea (peanut). RNAcentral's name for it is "miR3521 stem-loop (ahy-MIR3521)". The record is from miRBase by way of RNAcentral. Lineage: Eukaryota; Viridiplantae; Streptophyta; Magnoliopsida; Fabales; Fabaceae.